This 215-nucleotide small nucleolar RNA is filed under the name Pachysolen tannophilus NRRL Y-2460. RNAcentral's name for it is "Small nucleolar RNA snR43". It matches the Rfam family "Small nucleolar RNA snR43". The record is from Rfam by way of RNAcentral. Lineage: Eukaryota; Fungi; Ascomycota; Pichiomycetes; Alaninales; Pachysolenaceae.
CACUCCUGUUUCUGCCCCAUUUUCUUUUCACUUUCCAUGGAUUACUGGGUUCUAAUUAUGGAGAAGAUCAAGCUGAUCAAUGAAUCACCUUAAUGAUUUGAUACUUCGUUAUAACCGAUUUAUUGAUUGGAUCGUGUGAAUGAUUUUUACGUUUCUAAGAGGGAAAACAUGCUUAGUGAUGUUCUUCCUCGUUAGUUAAGAAUCUCACUAUAUUU